GCUUCUGUGUCUUUCCACCUGCUUUCCCUCUGUAGGAAGGACUCGGACACGGUAACUUACCUCAAGUCGUCCAGUGGCGUAGAAACAAAGGGUGAUUGAUGGAGGAAGAAAAUUGAGUUGAAAGCCUUUGAACUCGGCUGUCACCAUAUUCCUAUAAGAAACUCCCACAAUAUCUUUUAGAGAGAAAUGUAAUAGGAAAC
Long non-coding RNA from Trichechus manatus latirostris (Florida manatee), 200 nucleotides. RefSeq lists it as uncharacterized. The record is from RefSeq and is a predicted model, not a curated record. NCBI's taxonomy places the organism in Eukaryota, Metazoa, Chordata, Mammalia, Sirenia, Trichechidae. The transcript has 2 exons.